Molecule: ribosomal RNA, 459 nt
Filed under: uncultured bacterium
Lineage: Bacteria
Description: partial 16S ribosomal RNA
Rfam family: Bacterial small subunit ribosomal RNA
Source: RNAcentral
CCUACGGGAGGCAGCAGUGAGGAAUAUUGGUCAAUGGUCGUAAGACUGAACCAGCCAAGCAGCGUGCAGGAUGACGGUCCUAUGGGUUGUAAACUGCUUUUGUGCGGGGAUAAAAGGCGGCACGCGUCACGUUAUGACGGUACCGCAUGAAUAAGGACCGGCUAAGUCCGUGCCAGCAGCCGCGGUAAUACGGAAGGUACAGGCGUUAUCCGGAUUUAUUGGGUUUAAAGGGGGCGUAGGGGUAAUACAAAGUCAGAGGUAAAACCCGGGGGCUAAACCUCGCUCCGCCGUUGAAACUGGCGAUCUAGAGUGGGGGAGAGGUAAGCGGAAUGCGUGGUGUAGCGGUGAAAUGCAUAGAGAUCACGCAGAACACCGAUUGCGAAGGCAGCAUACUGGCGCCCAACUGACGCUGAGGCACGAAAGCGUGGGUAGCGAACAGGAUUAGAUACCCGAGUAGUC